CAGUAGCCGCGGGAAUACGUAGGGUGCGAGCGUUAAUCGGAAUUACUGGGCGUAAAGCGUGCGCAGGCGGUUGUGUAAGACAGGUGUGAAAUCCCCGGGCUUAACCUGGGAACUGCGCUUGUGACUGCACAGCUAGAGUAUGGCAGAGGGGGUGGGAUUCCACGUGUAGCAGUGAAAUGCGUAGAGAUGUGGAGGAACACCGAUGGCGUAGGCAGCCCCCUGGGCCAAUACUGACGCUCAUGCACGAAAGCGUGGGGAGCAAACAGGAUUAGAUACCCCAGUAGUCCCUGUCUCUUAUACA
Molecule: ribosomal RNA, 301 nt
Filed under: uncultured bacterium
Lineage: Bacteria
Description: partial 16S ribosomal RNA
Rfam family: Bacterial small subunit ribosomal RNA
Source: RNAcentral